AGGAUUAACGAUUUUAUUAAACUAUUCGUCCC
This 32-nucleotide non-coding RNA is filed under the name Rattus norvegicus (Norway rat). Lineage: Eukaryota; Metazoa; Chordata; Mammalia; Rodentia; Muridae. The record is from RNAcentral.